UGCAAUAAAUGUCUUGUAAGUAUGUAUACUUUAUCUCCCACCUAUGAGCUCCAGAUAUUAAAGCCUUAUUAGAGUAGGGUGAGAGAGAAGGCAAUGUCACUAUGCCUCAUACCACAAAUACCACAUAUCUUGAGAGAAGGCAUAUACCAUCACUGCCUUGGUAAGGAUCCAAAAAUACCACAAAAGAGAGACCUGAGAGAAUCAUACAAGGAAUCUCUGAGUUUUAUUUGAAAAUCUGCAAAAACCCCAGAGCUAUAGCUGAUCAAGAAUAAGAGACAUGGCACUUGGCUAGACUGUUCUAUCUUUUAACCACUCA
Molecule: long non-coding RNA, 316 nt
Filed under: Sorghum bicolor (sorghum)
Lineage: Eukaryota; Viridiplantae; Streptophyta; Magnoliopsida; Poales; Poaceae
Description: long non-coding RNA (SBIC_LNC014347)
Source: RNAcentral